Molecule: ribosomal RNA, 438 nt
Filed under: uncultured soil bacterium
Lineage: Bacteria
Description: bacterial SSU rRNA
Rfam family: Bacterial small subunit ribosomal RNA
Source: RNAcentral
AGGACGAACGCUGGCGGCGUGCUUAAUACAUGCAAGUCGAGCGAGAAGCCACCGCUCCGUAAGGAGUGGUGGUGGAAAGCGGCGAACGGGUGAGUAACACGUGGGUAAUGUGCCCUGAACAUCGGGAUAACAGCGGGAAACCGCUGCUAAUACCGAAUAACCCUGCAAUGUCGCAUGACGAAGCAGGCAAAUGUUCCGGCGGUUCAGGAUCAGCCCGCGGUGUAUCAGCUUGUUGGUGGGUAACGGCUACCAAGGUCUUUGACGCAUAGCUGGCGUGAGAGCGCGACCAGCCACACUGGGACUGAGACACGGCCCAGACCUCCGUACGGGAGGCAGCAGGUAGGGAAUCGUUGCGCAAGUGGGCGAAAGCCGUGACGCAGGCGACGCCGCGUGGAGGAUGGACGGUCGUUACGGUACGUAACCUCUUCAGCGAGGACG